UACGGAGGGGGCUAGCGUUGUUCGGAAUUACUGGGCGGAAAGCGCACGUAGGCGGCUUUGUAAGUCAGGGGUGAAAGCCUGGAGCUCAACUCCAGAACUGCCUUUGAGACUGCAUCGCUUGAAUCCGGGAGAGGUGAGUGGAAUUCCGAGUGUAGAGGUGAAAUUCGUAGAUAUUCGGAAGAACACCAGUGGCGAAGGCGGCUCACUGGACCGGGAUUGACGCUGAGGUGCGAAAGCGUGGGGAGCAAACAGG
This 253-nucleotide ribosomal RNA is filed under the name uncultured bacterium. RNAcentral's name for it is "partial 16S ribosomal RNA". It matches the Rfam family "Bacterial small subunit ribosomal RNA", at positions 524 to 776 of the family's 1533-position model. The record is from RNAcentral.